AGCCGGUGACGACAAAUUAAAUAAACUUUUCUGACACCUACUAUGAGAGCUGACCUGCAGCUCCUGAUUCUAACUUUAUUCUGAGGCUC
Amphiprion ocellaris (clown anemonefish) is the source of this 89-nucleotide small nucleolar RNA. Ensembl annotates it as Small nucleolar RNA SNORD60. The record is from Ensembl. Lineage: Eukaryota; Metazoa; Chordata; Actinopteri; Pomacentridae.